AGACCCGAAACCCGGUGAUCUAGCCAUGGGCAGGUUGAAGGUUGGGUAACACUAACUGGAGGACCGAACCGACUAAUGUUGAAAAAUUAGCGGAUGACCUGUGGCUGGGGGUGAAAGGCCAAUCAAACCGGGAGAUAGCUGGUUCUCCCCGAAAGCUAUUUAGGUAGCGCCUCGUGAAUUCAUCUCCGGGGGUAGAGCACUGUUUCGGCUAGGGGGCCAUCCCGGCUUACCAACCCGAUGCAAACUGCGAAUACCGGAGAAUGUUAUCACGGGAGACACACGGCGGGUGCUAACGUCCGUCGUGAAGAGGGAAACAACCCAGACCGCCAGCUAAGGUCCCAAAGUCAUGGUUAAGUGGGAAACGAUGUGGGAAGGCCCAGACAGCCAGGAUGUUGGCUUAGAAGCAGCCAUCAUUUAAAGAAAGCGUAAUAGCUCACUGGUCGAGUCGGCCUGCGCGGAAGAUGUAACGGGGCUAAACCAUGCACCGAAGCUGCGGCAGCGAACGUAUCACCCAAGACAACUUUACGGAGUUGACGAUUGACGGAGCGAAGCGACGUCAAAGCGUUCAUUAAAGUCGAGUUGGCUUAGGGAUACGUUCGUUGGGUAGGGGAGCGUUCUGUAAGCCUGUGAAGGUGUGUCGUGAGGCAUGCUGGAGGUAUCAGAAGUGCGAAUGCUGACAUAAGUAACGAUAAAGCGGGUGAAAAGCCCGCUCGCCGGAAGACCAAGGGUUCCUGUCCAACGUUAAUCGGGGCAGGGUGAGUCGACCCCUAAGGCGAGGCCGAAAGGCGUAGUCGAUGGGAAACGGGUUAAUAUUCCCGUACUUGGUGUUACUGCGAAGGGGGGACGGAGAAGGCUAUGUUGGCCGGGCGACGGUUGUCCCGGUUUAAGCGUGUAGGUGUGUGUUCCAGGUAAAUCCGGUUCACUUUAACACUGAGGCGUGAUGACGAGGCACUACGGUGCUGAAGCAACAAAUGCCCUGCUUCCAGGAAAAGCCUCUAAGCAUCAGGUAACAUCAAAUCGUACCCCAAACCGACACAGGUGGUCAGGUAGAGAAUACCAAGGCGCUUGAGAGAACUCGGGUGAAGGAACUAGGCAAAAUGGUGCCGUAACUUCGGGAGAAGGCACGCUGACACGUAGGUGAAGUGAUUUACUCACGGAGCUGAAGUCAGUCGAAGAUACCAGCUGGCUGCAACUGUUUAUUAAAAACACA
This 1210-nucleotide ribosomal RNA is filed under the name Salmonella enterica. RNAcentral's name for it is "partial 23S ribosomal RNA". It matches the Rfam family "Bacterial large subunit ribosomal RNA", at positions 711 to 1817 of the family's 2925-position model. Lineage: Bacteria; Pseudomonadati; Pseudomonadota; Gammaproteobacteria; Enterobacterales; Enterobacteriaceae. The record is from RNAcentral.